Molecule: long non-coding RNA, 387 nt
Organism: Xiphias gladius (swordfish)
Lineage: Eukaryota; Metazoa; Chordata; Actinopteri; Istiophoriformes; Xiphiidae
Exons: 5
Source: RefSeq, a predicted model, not a curated record
GCCUCGCCGGCCUGCCAACUUCGGUUCCUGCCUGAAAAACGAAAACAGCCGAGGAAGAGAGACGGAGGACGGGAGUGUUAAAAGCCGAACUCGGUGGUCGGAGUCACCGCCUCCGGCUGCUCCUGUGGGAAAAAUCAAAACAGAGAAAAAACAUGAGAAGGCUGCUGAGAUGUGACCUUAAUAAGCUCCACUGAGCUUUGUCAGCCAUGAGGGAACUCCUUGGUGUGUCAGCAUCAUCUGCACUGAAAAAUAUCCAUCUGAAAGCCGGGAGUUAUGGCAGAAGAAAGAGAGCCAGAUCCCAGAGAGAAGGUGAGAGCCAGAUCAGUCUCCACAGACCCACUGGGUGGCAGCACUAUCUCAUGGGACCUCAAAAUCCUUUUGGAGCCC